UCGAGCCGAACCACAACUCGCACAUUGUGUUCACAUCGCACGCGAACGAGCCAACGGGUUUUGCGAGCCGCAUUCGCAAGCCGACUCGCGAAUUGCGAACAUCGCGUGGAAUAAAUUCGCGACGCAAAAAACGCUCUAUUAUUCAAUCUAACAAAAAAGUGUUGAAAUUUUUACAAAAAUUGCAAAGUUUUUCGUGAUUUUUCUGUUUUUUACUCCAUAUUUUUGAAGAUUUUGUGUGAAAAUUGAAUUACAACACUCAAAACUUUGGAUUUGUCAUAUUUUACUGGAAAUUUGCGACGUUUUGGUGAUUUUCUGUAUUUUUACCGCGGAUUUUAGAAGAUUUUGUGCCAAAAUUGGAUUACAACCUUUAUAACCUUGGAUAUUAUAAAAAUGCAACGUCAAAUUCAAGGAUUUUGUGCUGUGAACGACACUUUUCAAGGAUUAUUAAGUUGAAUUAAUGAAUAAGUUUACUUGAGUGCGUUAAAAAAAUAAAGUUUUAACUGAAAGUGUAAUUUUUACAUCAUCAUCAUCAUUAUUCGCCCUCUUUUUGUUCCUUUUUGGCAGUUUUUGGCGUUUUAAUACAAAACACGUGUGCGAUAUGUGUGUGCGGAGGGUGAAGAAAAGUGUAAAAAAAACUCAGCACGAGCAAAAACGCCCCGACGCGCGUAUUAGUAUUAACUCGUAUCGGUUACGAGCGCUGUUUUUUGUGCGAUUCCCAUAGUGUUGUCUCUGUGCGCAGCCAUAGUAAGGCAUCAAAAACGCUGUUAGGAUGUUAGGAAACCCGCCAACAUACACCCGCAUAUUGCCGCUUGCACAUGCUGCACGUGGGGUGGCCGAACAGACGCGCGCAUCUUUAUCGCAGAAAACGCCGAAAAACACAAGGGGAGACUUUUUUCGUCGCGUAACCGACACGACUAAUUUUACCCACAGCGGAAAACGCACGAAACAAAAGAACAUUUUGUUACACAAUAUAUUUUAAUUUUAAACAACAGCCGCAACCUUGAAUAAUAAAUUUAUUGGUGUCAACAGUGAAUCAAAGCGAAAAUAUUGACGUGUGUAAUUACAAUACUUAACUUAAACGAAAAACAAACGCGCAUCAUUAUCAGCAGUCAAAUUAUAUUCCGCGUUUAUCGAUCAAUAAAUAACACGAAUUUGUGCGAUUUGUGUGCGUUCAAACACGUCUAGACACGAUAAACAAAUUAAAUUCAAUAAUUACGUGUUUAAAUAUUGUUUCAAAAUUAAUUCCGAGCAAAUGUCAGAGACAACAGUUGUGUUGCAACAACGACAUGUGAUGAACGAAAAUUGUCUACUCAUGCGGAAACGAAGAAAGACAGAAGUGCAUCGUUGACCUAGAUUUUGCCAAGUCCACUUGGUUUCGAAAUAGACGCCGUGGUCGUGAUUACGGCGUGCCACUGCCAUUGCGCAUGCAUCAUCGAAGAGAGAGUCAACGCCGGACGGGUUGAUCAUCUACACUUUAGACCAGAGAGAAAGAAGACACGGAGCGUUAACACGCCGCGAAGGUCACUCAAGUGGCAACACCGCACAACUUCCGCUUAAAUCUUCACUGCAUAAUAUCAGCGUCAAGUGCCACAUAACCAAAAACCAUCUAAUCCUUCAAGUGCGUUACAGUAGGGCUUUUGUGCUCGUUUUCCAGACGUGAAACUUGUUGAAUUUGGCGUCGCCGGUUGUAAUUUUGUAUUUUUUACGAGGUUCUAAAUUAUUUAUGCAAUCAAAUAAGUCUGAAGCUGUCUAAAGGGUUGUUUAGGUUGGAUUUUUACGCGUUUCGCAUAAAUUUCAGAGUCCGGCCGCUGGACCCUUUUUUUACUGCGUGCCCCUUUUUUAUGUUUCGCCGACAAUGAAAAAAUAUGCGCAUUUUUAUGGCUGAGAAGACAUUUUUCGGCAAAUGUAUCCUUUCAUCGUAAAAAAACGUAUAAAAAGUUUUUGAUGUGAGAAUUGAAAAUUUGCACUUUUCAACUUGAAAUAUUUGUCAACGCUCACCCUCGCCAUAUCAGUAACACCGGAAUAACAAAACUUCAAAUCCAAACACGUCUGAGGGGUCGCCGCAGACCUAAAUCAACAAGUGUUGCGCUGCGUCGCUAGAAAAAUUAUAAUUUUUUGCCUGUUUUUUGCUGCCCGUCCGGUAUCACCACCGGAGAUCAGCGUAGAUUGCGUGUGGUGUUUGCUGUUGCAGUCGGGCGCGAUGAUGAUGGGAAGAAUUUCACGCCCCCUUAUCGUCUAUUAUGCGAUGAUGGAAACGUCUAAAUUUCACCAACGCUGACUUUGAACCUGAGAAUCCAGCCAAGUUGAGAUUUCUAAGCGAAACGUCAAGUUGAAGACGUUAUUAAUGAAUUAUUAAACGUGCGCUAAUGGUUUUUAUGCUAUAAUGUGCAAAACCUGUGUUUUUUCGUUUUUAAAAUGAUCAUUUUUCUUGUUUAACUUGAAAGAUGUCUAAAUUAAAACGUCUGGUGUAAAAUCUUUGGCAAGAAGCGUGAAAAACGUAAAACAUGUUUGAAUGAUAAAUGAUAAAUGAUAAAAUAUUACUUUAUUUAAAUUCGGCGUAUUAUUGAAUAUAAAAUAAACGAUUGAGUGAUUACCCCUAGUUGAUGUUGUCAGAUGUGUUGUAAUCAUAAGUACAUUCUAGGAAAACAGGUAGCGACCCUUUUCGCAACAUGCUAUAAUUUGAAGGUGCGAGGGUGAAAUUUGCAUUUUCUAGUCAUUCAUGAAGUUUGCACACGCAAAGACCAUACUUUUGAAUAGGGGAGGCACACCCUAUAUCGUAAUCAUCUAUUGUAGUGACAAGAAUGCUUUAUAUUGCGAAAUAUUCUCAAUAAUGCUAAAAAAUUAGUUAAUUUGAUAAUUAUCAUUGUAAAACCUAAUAAAACUAGUGAUAAACUUGA
Dalotia coriaria is the source of this 2897-nucleotide long non-coding RNA. RefSeq lists it as uncharacterized. NCBI's taxonomy places the organism in Eukaryota, Metazoa, Arthropoda, Insecta, Coleoptera, Staphylinidae. The transcript is spliced from 2 exons. The record is from RefSeq and is a predicted model, not a curated record.